Molecule: small RNA, 81 nt
Filed under: Sinorhizobium fredii NGR234
Lineage: Bacteria; Pseudomonadati; Pseudomonadota; Alphaproteobacteria; Hyphomicrobiales; Rhizobiaceae
Description: alpha proteo sRNA
Source: RNAcentral
UGCCCCUGCUCAUUCGGGGCCGUCUCCACCGCAAAAGCAAAACGGCCCGGCAGGGAUUGCCGGGCCAUUUUUUUCUGACAG